AAGGUUUCCGUAGGUGAACCUGCGGAAGGAUCAUUACCGAGUGCGGGCUGCCUCCGGGCGCCCAACCUCCCACCCGUGACUACCUAACACUGUUGCUUCGGCGGGGAGCCCUCUCGGGGGCGAGCCGCCGGGGACUACUGAACUUCAUGCCUGAGAGUGAUGCAGUCUGAGUCUGAAUAUAAAAUCAGUCAAAACUUUCAACAAUGGAUCUCUUGGUUCCGGCAUCGAUGAAGAACGCAGCGAACUGCGAUAAGUAAUGUGAAUUGCAGAAUUCAGUGAAUCAUCGAGUCUUUGAACGCACAUUGCGCCCCCUGGCAUUCCGGGGGGCAUGCCUGUCCGAGCGUCAUUGCUGCCCAUCAAGCCCGGCUUGUGUGUUGGGUCGUCGUCCCCCCCGGGGGACGGGCCCGAAAGGCAGCGGCGGCACCGUGUCCGGUCCUCGAGCGUAUGGGGCUUUGUCACCCGCUCGAUUAGGGCCGGCCGGGCGCCAGCCGACGUCUCCAACCAUUUUCUUCAGGUUGACCUCGGAUCAGGUAGGGAUACCCGCUGAACCUAAGCAUAUCA
This 561-nucleotide unclassified non-coding RNA is filed under the name Aspergillus jensenii. RNAcentral describes it as "sequence contains 18S rRNA gene, ITS1, 5.8S rRNA gene, ITS2, 28S rRNA gene". The stretch from base 193 to 346 matches the Rfam family "5.8S ribosomal RNA". Lineage: Eukaryota; Fungi; Ascomycota; Eurotiomycetes; Eurotiales; Aspergillaceae. The record is from RNAcentral.